GGAGGUUAUAUUGUGUAGUGACACUUCCCCAUUCUAAUAAAUUAUAAACCCAAGGAUUAGGCAGUGAGCCAACAUUUUUUCUUCCUCUCGUUUCCAAAGUCAUUUGAAACAAAAUGCUCAUACGAUUCAAAUGCAAAGCUGCAUCUGCUUUCAGAUUUCAUUCAUUGUUGAUUUUCGAAUCUCAUAAUCUGUAUUCAACCUUAACCCGAAGCCAUCUCCUCACAAAAUACCUCAUCAAAUCCCUCGGAUUCACCAAGGAAGAAGCAUCAUUAGCAUCCUCCAAGGUAACCUCAUACAAAUCCUUAAACAACAAUAAGAACCCCGAUAUAGUCGUUAAUUACUUUAAACACGUCGGGUUCAACGAGAUUCAAAUAAAACAAUUGAUUUCAGUAACACCUAAGCUUCUAUUCUGUGAUGUAACCAAAACCCUAAAACCCAAAUUCCAAUGUUUAAUGGAUAUUGGGUUAACUGGGUCGGAUCUUGUAAAUGUAAUUGCUAAAGAUACAACUAUUGUUGAAAGAGGUUUAUUUACUCAUUUAAAACCUACAAUUAAUUGUUUGAAAAGAGUCUUGGGUAGUGAUGAUAAUGUUGUGAGAGCUGUGAAAAGAACGUCGUGGUUGCUUUCGUUUGGUGGUCGUAAUGUGAUGGAAAGUAAUUUAAUGUUGUUGAAAAAACGCGGUGUUUCUGAUGAAAAAAUACAAAUACUUGUGAGUAGGAAUCCUAGGUGCAUUACCCAGAAACCCGAGUGGGUUAAGGAUUUGUUGGAUAGAGUAGAGAAGGAUUUUCGAGUUCCACUUGAUUCCUCGAUGUUUCCUUAUGGAUUUCAUGCAUUAGCAAGUCAAAAGAAGUCGAGAUGUGGGGAAAAGGUUGAGAUAUUCAAGAGUUUUGGAUGGAGUGAUGAGGAUGUACUUACGAUGUUUAGGAAGUUACCUUAUUGUAUUGCGCUUUCUGAGGUUAAAAUUCGGAAAGGAUUGAGUCUUUAUAUGAAGGAGCUUGGUUAUGAUGCUGCUUAUAUUGCGUCUCAUCCGUCAAUUUUGAUAUAUAGUUUGGAAAAAAGGGUGUUACCUCGGAUGCAAGUGUUGAAAAUUUUGGAUGAAAAGAAGCUCGAGAGGAGAAAGAUGGGUCUUUAUAGUGUUGUGUGCUUAACUGAGAGGAAGUUCAAAGAUUAUUUUGUGUUGCCCUACAAGGAUCAAGUACCUGAUCUGUAUGAACCACUCAAGAAAACACUGGCGCCUUGACAGGGGUAAGGUCUGCGUAUAUAGUACCCAUCAUACCUCAGCUGCAGGAUUAUACUGGGUUUGUUGUUGCUGAUAUAUGUGCAAAUUUCCUUGAGCCGAGGAUCUUUUGGGAACAACCUCCUACCAUCAGGCGGUAGGGGUAGGGAUUGCAUAUACAUUGGCCUUCCCCAACCUCACGUGCAGGAUUAUACUGUAAGACUUGUGUAUAACCUACCCUUCCUCGGUCUCACUUGUGGGAUUACACGGGGUUUGUUGUUGUUGGUUUUAUGUAUGCAGGUUUCCUUGAGCCGAGGGUCUAGCAGAAACAACCUUUCUACCAUCACAAGGCAGGGGUAAGGUCUGCGUAUACACUAUCCUCCCCAUGCCCCACCUACGAAAUUAUUCUGAAUUUGUUGUUGUUGAAUGUUGAUAUAUAUGCAGGUUUCUAGACGUGCCUAGGGUGGUGAAUGCUUUUGGCAUUUCUUGAUUGUAACUCGGACAUGUUUUUCUAUGGAGUUUAUGUCUUAGUUUAGACUAGUGAGCCACUUCUAGAGAAAAACUUUGCAGUUUUCAGUAGUUAACUAUGUUGUAUUUACCACACUUUUUUUAAAAAAGAAAAAAUACCAAAAGUGACUCUUACUCCAAAAUAGAGUUUGAAAACAUAUCAAAAGAAGAGCUAUAAAUAACAAUAUCAUACCCAGUGUAAUAACACAAGUGGGGUCCAAGGAGGUUAGCAUGUACACAAACCUUAUCCCUACUUUUGUGGGUUAGGGAGGCUGUUUCCGAUAGACAAAAGAAGAGCUAUAAGGGGAAAAAUGAUACAUUACAAGAUUCUUUGAGGACUUGAUGCAUCUCUUUUGUUGCGUAGAAUGUUAAAAUUACACAGAAACCAAGGUUUGAUGGCAAUUAGAGCUUUUUGUGUUGUUCGCUGAGUAAUAAUAUUUUCUCUGUGCUCCUUGAAACUGUAUAAUUUUCCAAUCAAAUGGUGCUGGAGUAGCUCCAUUCUCAAUUGCCAACUCUAGUGAUUAGUUAUAAUCUCAAAUGUUACUCCAUGAUUCUUGAUAAUACAUCGAGUCCCAAAAACUUCAUUUAUCUGCAGACCAUGCCGAAUUGCUUCAUUGAUGACCAUAGCAUCCCUGACUUUUGCUCGUGAAACAUGGGCCAGAUUAAAUCUGCAUGGUAGCCCUCAACAGUAUCAAAAAGCAAAGGAACAUUUCCCUGCUGAAAACAAAUGUCAGCUCCAAGGACUAAAUCAUAUCCUUCUGGAUGCCCUUGUAAUAUGCAAUUCAGCGGAUUUGACUUACCCCAUUCCAGCUUCUCGGCUUUUAAUUUACAACACAUAGAAUCAUCUGAAGAUUCCUGCAGCUUUAUCUUGAGACCUUCAUUGUUAUGAUCUGUCAUCACCACUUCACGACAGAAUCUACAGCAAAGCACUCCAGUUAUACCAACACCAGAGCCUAGUUCGAUGACAGAACAUGUUAGUGGUCUUUGUAAUAUAAUCAUUCAACAGCAGUUCCCCAGGUCACACCAACUGUCCUGUCAUUUCAAAAUCAGUUGAAGAAGAUUAGAGGCAGUAAAGCUGAAGAACACGAGCCCCAAAAUGUAAAUCUGCAAUCUGGUAGUCGUCAUUGACAAAGAAAGAUUUGUCCAAGCACGCUAUGUCAUCAUCGCCAUCAUCUUCUCUACUCAUGGUGAUGGUGGUUUCUGUCUUCCUCUUGGAACUCAAGCGUGCAGAGUUAUGAUGCUAUAUUGCGAGCUCAGAUGAGAGUAAAAGUGAGUGAGCUACUUUAGGCUCAUAUCUAUGAGUUAGCCACAUUGGUCCAGGGUUAUGCAGCCUAAAUGCGGGUUCAUGUCUCUUCUUAUCAGACUGGAAUGGAAAACUACCACACCUUGAAUCUAGUUCAAGAAGAGCUCAUAGUUGUCAAUAUUUGAGUCAAAUAUAUUAUAUUUUGUAAUAUCUCGCUACUUUGAUAAACGUUUAACCAAUUGUAAUUGUAUAGUGCACUUAUAAUAAGACGAACGAUCGGUAUAAGGAUAUAUUGG
This is an RNA transcript of Capsicum annuum, 3260 nucleotides long. It is a transcript of the gene named transcription termination factor MTERF5, chloroplastic, with no coding region annotated. The record is from RefSeq and is a predicted model, not a curated record. NCBI's taxonomy places the organism in Eukaryota, Viridiplantae, Streptophyta, Magnoliopsida, Solanales, Solanaceae. The transcript is spliced from 3 exons.